Non-coding RNA from Paramuricea clavata, 1468 nucleotides. The record is from the annotation of a GenBank genome assembly. Lineage: Eukaryota; Metazoa; Cnidaria; Anthozoa; Malacalcyonacea; Plexauridae.
UUUUGAAAAAACCGCUUAGGUGAUUAUCGCGUAAUAAUCCGAGGUCGCUUGACCAAUCAGCGGCCACAAUUUUCGAUAAUCACCUUUGUAAUUAUACUAAUAUUAUUUAAUUUAAAACAUAGUUGGAACACUCAUCAAAUCUUUAUUUUGUUAAUCUAUAUAAAGCUUGAAAUAUCCCCGUAACAAUGUGUGACUGCCAAGUCUUAUAGUGCUCGUUUGACAGGGACAAAAUAACAGUAACCCCGAAACGGGGAACAUUUUGAAAAGUGUUUAUCUGACAUUUUCGACUAGAUUUCGCUCAUCAGUGUCGUCAUCAGGGGCAGGUUUGUUCAAAGCUGGUUUAGCUUUAGGUUGACAUAAAUUCAAAGCAAACUUCCUGACAGCUUGUCUGUAAAUUUGGAAAUAUUUCUUCAGAGAUCUUGUCUGGAUCGAUAGGAGUUUACUUCUCUGAAGUUUUGAAAUAAACAGCUAGACGUGUAGAAAUAUACAAACUAAAAACAGCAGGUUAAAUUUUAACCCAGGGUUAGCGCUAACACACAUUUGAACAACCGUUCCCAGAUGACUAAAAUCAUUAAACCAUCAUUCAUUAAAAUCGAGACGAAAUGUCGAAUAAGCAGUUUUCGAAAUGAUUACCAUUUUCGGAGUUUCUAUUGUUUGGAUUUAAUUACAAUAAUCGGUGGUUCCCACGAUUUCUCAAGGUUUGUGCUUGCACGUCACAAAAUCUCUUCCUAUACUUUUCUGGAACCCAAGCGUAGCAUUAGUAGCAUUACAUUCCCGAAAUAGAAACACUUUAUAAUUUUAAGCAUUCCAACACGUUUUUUUCCAGCCUUUUGAUAGAUCAUACAUGUCGUCACACCUUUAUGCAACUUGAGAAAGAUUGGAUCGCAAAUAUAUUAAUAUGAAAUAGACUUUCUUUUGGCAGUCUCGUGCUGUUGUGAGCAAUGAUGCAUCCGCCUAAAAUGCUAAUGAGCAUCGCAUUUUGCGCGCUUUUGUGGAGCGCGUCUCGAGUAGUGGCUUCGCGUUUGUAUUCAAGCGCAAUUGAACCGUCGCAUUCUUUUCAAAAGACCCAAAGUGGUAGGUUUUGUGUAGUCGUGUGAUUAUUUCUUAGUAGUUUACUAUGGAUUAUACCUAAAUACAUGUUAAUCCUAGGUAUAAUGCUGUUAUAAAUUGUAGUUCAGUUAUUUGAAUUAGGGUAUAAUGUUUUGGAUUAUGUUUCAAACGAGGCCCAUAAAUGAACCAAUUAGUUUAAAAAUUUGUCAUACGGCACAAAUAUUCAGACUAAUAUUACUCAGUUACAUCUGUGUUUAUAUAUAAGACUGAUUAGAUAAGUUCUAUAUUUAGGAAUCACAAAUAUAAUUAUACUGUUAAUAACUCCUGUUAUAUAAAUUUUGAGAAACUAUUGAGGACAGAAAAUUUCCGACGCGCGUCGAAAUAUUUUAUACAGGAAAUUAAGUACUAUUUAAUAGGC